UCCCAGGUGGCUCAAUGGUAAAGAAUCUGCCUGCAAUGCAGGAGCUGCAGGAGACCCGGGUUUGAUCCCUGGACUGGGAA
RNAcentral lists this transfer RNA (80 nucleotides) under Ovis aries (sheep). It matches the Rfam family "tRNA". Rfam says of the family: Transfer RNA (tRNA) molecules are approximately 80 nucleotides in length. Their secondary structure includes four short double-helical elements and three loops (D, anti-codon, and T loops). Further hydrogen bonds mediate the characteristic L-shaped molecular structure. tRNAs have two regions of fundamental functional importance: the anti-codon, which is responsible for specific mRNA codon recognition, and the 3' end, to which the tRNAs corresponding amino acid is attached (by aminoacyl-tRNA synthetases). tRNAs cope with the degeneracy of the genetic code in two manners: having more than one tRNA (with a specific anti-codon) for a particular amino acid; and 'wobble' base-pairing, i.e. permitting non-standard base-pairing at the 3rd anti-codon position. The record is from Rfam by way of RNAcentral. Lineage: Eukaryota; Metazoa; Chordata; Mammalia; Artiodactyla; Bovidae.